UCGGGCUGUAGCGCAGUUGGUAGCGCGCCUGGUUCGGGACCAGGAGGUCGCGGGUUCGACUCCCGCCAACCCGAU
This 75-nucleotide transfer RNA is filed under the name Spirochaetia bacterium. Its description in RNAcentral is "tRNA-Pro". It matches the Rfam family "tRNA". Rfam says of the family: Transfer RNA (tRNA) molecules are approximately 80 nucleotides in length. Their secondary structure includes four short double-helical elements and three loops (D, anti-codon, and T loops). Lineage: Bacteria; Pseudomonadati; Spirochaetota; Spirochaetia. The record is from RNAcentral.